GUGGUGGGUAGCUCAGUGGAUAGAGCGCCUAAAUAUCCUUAUUCACCCCUUGCCUGAAAAGGCCGACGAAUCGAGGGUUAUCGCCUGCCAAGCGGGAGGUCGCGGGUUCAAUUCCCGCUCCACUACACCA
RNAcentral lists this transfer RNA (130 nucleotides) under Nostoc sp. ATCC 53789. Its description in RNAcentral is "tRNA-OTHER". Lineage: Bacteria; Bacillati; Cyanobacteriota; Cyanophyceae; Nostocales; Nostocaceae. RNAcentral also lists the same sequence under 1 other name. The record is from RNAcentral.